This 256-nucleotide unclassified non-coding RNA is filed under the name Hevea brasiliensis (rubber tree). The record is from RNAcentral. Lineage: Eukaryota; Viridiplantae; Streptophyta; Magnoliopsida; Malpighiales; Euphorbiaceae.
AGGAGUAGUGGUAGAUGCCAAACUGAGAGAGGCUGCAAUUACUGUUAUUGCCAAGAUUGAUGAUCCUCUUAUCCUCGCCGCCGCCAUUGAAGAAUAAGUUUACCUACCAGCAGCAGUCUACAGCAAAGCAAAAGCGCAGAGAGACUUUUUCUUUCACUUCCGGAGGCUUAACCUCACUCCCGCAGCUAUUUUGGUCGAGAGAAAGGAGAAAUCGGAAGAUUAUGCUCAAUAGCUGGACUUACUUGCAAUUAUUAAC